RNAcentral lists this ribosomal RNA (467 nucleotides) under uncultured bacterium. RNAcentral's name for it is "partial 16S ribosomal RNA". It matches the Rfam family "Bacterial small subunit ribosomal RNA", at positions 28 to 507 of the family's 1533-position model. The record is from RNAcentral.
GACGAACGCUGGCGGCGUGCUUAACACAUGCGAGUCGAACGGAAAGGCCUCUUUCGGGGGGUACUCGAGUGGCGAACGGGUGAGUAACACGUGAGUAACCUGCCCUUGACUUUGGGAUAACUUCAGGAAACUGGGGCUAAUACCGGAUAGGAGCUCCUGCUGCAUGGGGGGGGUUGGAAAGUUUCGGCGGUUGGGGAUGGACUCGCGGCUUAUCAGCUUGUUGGUGGGGUAGUGGCUUACCAAGGCUUUGACGGGUAGCCGGCCUGCGAGGGUGACCGGCCACAUUGGGACUGAGAUACGGCCCAGACUCCUACGGGAGGCAGCAGUGGGGAAUAUUGCACAAUGGGUGGAAGCCUGAUGCAGCAACGCCGUGUGCGGGAUGACGGCCUUCGGGUUGUAAACCGCUUUCGCUCAUGACGAAGCUUUGUGUGACGGUAGUGGGUAAAGAAGCACCGGCUAACUACGUG